AUUGAACGCUGGCGGCAGGCCUAACACAUGCAAGUCGAACGAGUGGCGGACGGGUGAGUAAUGUCUGGGAAACUGCCUGAUGGAGGGGGAUAACUACUGGAAACGGUAGCUAAUACCGCAUUCCAUCGGAUGUGCCCAGAUGGGAUUAGCUAGUAGGUGGGGUAAAGGCUCACCUAGGCGACGAUCCCUAGCUGGUCUGAGAGGAUGACCCGCCACACAGGAACUGAGACACGGUCCACGAUCCUACGGGAGGCAGCAGUGGGGAAUAUUGCACGAGGAGAGCAAACCUAAUGCGGCCAGGCCGCGUCAAUGAAGUAGGCCUUCGGGUUGUAAAGAACUUACAGCGGAGAGGCGUUGCCCGCAGAAGAAACACCGGCUAACCCAGUAGCAGCAGCCGCGGUAAUAC
Molecule: ribosomal RNA, 406 nt
Filed under: uncultured bacterium
Lineage: Bacteria
Description: partial 16S ribosomal RNA
Rfam family: Bacterial small subunit ribosomal RNA
Source: RNAcentral